CACACACGGAAGUCGGGUUUCGACGGUUGGGCUCCAGCUCGGUCGACGCGAUCCACCGGUGGCGGCCACAAGGCCGCUUCGUUCCGUGGAGGCUCAACCGGAAAAGGAAACAU
RNAcentral lists this small RNA (113 nucleotides) under Aurantimonas endophytica. Its description in RNAcentral is "rpsB sRNA". It matches the Rfam family "rpsB sRNA". Lineage: Bacteria; Pseudomonadati; Pseudomonadota; Alphaproteobacteria; Hyphomicrobiales; Aurantimonadaceae. The record is from RNAcentral.